This 207-nucleotide ribosomal RNA is filed under the name Scyphosphaera apsteinii. Its description in RNAcentral is "partial Bacterial small subunit ribosomal RNA". Lineage: Eukaryota; Haptophyta; Coccosphaerales; Pontosphaeraceae. The record is from RNAcentral.
GAAUUUCCCUCCCACAAUGCUGGCACGGGUUCUUCUAGAGCAACAAUGUGGACUGAAAAAAGGCAAAGAGGUUGGGCAGCUCAUUAGGCGGCCGCAGGCUAUCUCCGACCCUCGCUUGCGGGAAGAGGUUGUCGCAGCCGUUCGUAAUGACCCUCACUAUGGUCCGGGUGUAGACACGGUACGCCGGUUGAUCGGGUUGGAGUACGA